RNAcentral lists this ribosomal RNA (495 nucleotides) under uncultured bacterium. RNAcentral describes it as "partial 16S ribosomal RNA". It matches the Rfam family "Bacterial small subunit ribosomal RNA", at positions 29 to 506 of the family's 1533-position model. The record is from RNAcentral.
AUGCACGCUGGCGGCGUGCCUAAUACAUGCAAGUCGAGCGAACAGACGAGGAGCUUGCUCCUCUGACGUUAGCGGCGGACGGGUGAGUAACACGUGGAUAACCUACCUAUAAGACUGGGAUAACUUCGGGAAACCGGAGCUAAUACCGGAUAAUAUAUUGAACCGCAUGGUUCAAUAGUGAAAGACGGUUUUGCUGUCACUUAUAGAUGGAUCCGCGCCGCAUUAGCUAGUUGGUAAGGUAACGGCUUACCAAGGCAACGAUGCGUAGCCGACCUGAGAGGGUGAUCGGCCACACUGGAACUGAGACACGGUCCAGACUCCUACGGGAGGCAGCAGUAGGGAAUCUUCCGCAAUGGGCGAAAGCCUGACGGAGCAACGCCGCGUGAGUGAUGAAGGUCUUCGGAUCGUAAAACUCUGUUAUUAGGGAAGAACAAAUGUGUAAGUAACUAUGCACGUCUUGACGGUACCUAAUCAGAAAGCCACGGCUAACUACGU